UGGGGAAUAUUGCACAAUGGGGGGAACCCUGAUGCAGCGACGCCGCGUGGAGGAAGAAGGUCUUCGGAUUGUAAACUCCUGUUGUUGAGGAAGAUAAUGACGGUACUCAACAAGGAAGUGACGGCUAACUACGUGCCAGCAGCCGCGGUAAAACGUAGGUCACAAGCGUUGUCCGGAAUUACUGGGUGUAAAGGGAGCGCAGGCGGGAAGACAAGUUGGAAGUGAAAUCUAUGGGCUCAACCCAUAAACUGCUUUCAAAACUGUUUUUCUUGAGUAGUGCAGAGGUAGGCGGAAUUCCCGGUGUAGCGGUGGAAUGCGUAGAUAUCGGGAGGAACACCAGUGGCGAAGGCGGCCUACUGGGCACCAACUGACGCUGAGGCUCGAAAGUGUGGGUAGCAAACAGGAUUAGAUACCCUGGUAGUCCACACCGUAAACGAUGAUUACUAGGUGUUGGAGGAUUGACCCCUUCAGUGCCGCAGUUAACACAAUAAGUAAUCCACCUGGGGAGUACGACCGCAAGGUUGAAACUCAAAGGAAUUGACGGGGGCCCGCACAAGCAGUGGAGUAUGUGGUUUAAUUCGACGCAACGCGAAGAACCUUACCAAGUCUUGACAUCCCUUGACGAACAUAGAAAUAUGUUUUCUCUUCGGAGCAAGGAGACAGGUGGUGCAUGGUUGUCGUCAGCUCGUGUCGUGAGAUGUUGGGUUAAGUCCCGCAACGAGCGCAACCCUUAUGGUCAGUUACUACGCAAGAGGACUCUGGCCAGACUGCCGUUGACAAAACGGAGGAAGGUGGGGAUGACGUCAAAUCAUCAUGCCCCUUAUGACCUGGGCUACACACGUACUACAAUGGAUGUUAACAGAGGGAAGCAAGACAGCGAUGUGGAGCAAACCCCUAAAAACAUUCUCAGUUCAGAUUGCAGGCUGCAACCCGCCUGCAUGAAGAUGGAAUUGCUAGUAAUCGCGGAUCAGCAUGCCGCGGUGAAUACGUUCCC
This 994-nucleotide ribosomal RNA is filed under the name uncultured bacterium. RNAcentral describes it as "bacterial SSU rRNA". It matches the Rfam family "Bacterial small subunit ribosomal RNA", at positions 355 to 1375 of the family's 1533-position model. The record is from RNAcentral.